This 3815-nucleotide small RNA is filed under the name Pan troglodytes (chimpanzee). RNAcentral's name for it is "retained intron". Lineage: Eukaryota; Metazoa; Chordata; Mammalia; Primates; Hominidae. The record is from RNAcentral.
AGGGCUUCGGCUUCCCUACUUCACACAUGUGGUUCACUGUUGCGGGGGUUCGUGGAGUUAUGGUGGGUGGGAAAUCCGAGAUUCUUUGCAUCCAUGUGAUUUCUGGGGAUCUGUGAAGAACUUCAGACGUGGGUCUGAGCGUCCUUUUCCCAACCCUUGGGCCCCGGCCUGGCUGUCAGCACUUUCGGAGCUCCACCCUCUUCCGUGCACCCCAAGGCCAGUGUGUCGUUGUUAGCGUGUGGGGUGGACAGAUCUUGUGUGUAGCCGGUGGUGGAGAAAGGACUCAUUUUGUCCUAGCACCCACACACACAGGCCCCCACUCCUCUCCACCUCUGCUAAGGAGGGCUCAAAACCCACCAGCAUAAAUGUGGCUCGGUAGUCCAACGUGGACUUUUAAUUUUUUUUCUUUUUUUUUUUUCCAGAGUCUACAAUAAAACAUCUAAUUGGUGUCAGAGAGUUUACAGAAUAAAACCUUCUGAAUGUCUUGUGUAAUGUGUGUCUUGUAGGUAUCUCUUCAACUGUGGAGAAGGCAUUCAGAGACUCAUGCAGGAGCACAAGUUAAAGGUUGCUCGCCUGGACAACAUAUUCCUGACACGAAUGCACUGGUCUAAUGUUGGGGGCUUAAGUGGAAUGAUUCUUACUUUAAAGGAAACCGGGCUUCCAAAGUGUGUACUUUCUGGACCUCCACAACUGGAAAAAUACCUCGAAGCAAUCAAAAUAUUUUCUGGUCCAUUGAAAGGAAUAGAACUGGCUGUGCGGCCCCACUCUGCCCCAGAAUACGAGGAUGAAACCAUGACAGUUUACCAGAUCCCCAUACACAGUGAACAGAGGAGGGGAAAGCACCAACCAUGGCAGAGUCCAGAAAGGCCUCUCAGCAGGCUCAGUCCAGAGCGAUCUUCAGACUCCGAGUCAAAUGAAAAUGAGCCACACCUUCCACAUGGUGUUAGCCAGAGAAGAGGGGUCAGGGACUCUUCCCUGGUCGUAGCUUUCAUCUGUAAGCUUCACUUAAAGAGAGGAAACUUCUUGGUGCUCAAAGCAAAGGAGAUGGGCCUCCCAGUUGGGACAGCUGCCAUCGCUCCCAUCAUUGCUGCUGUCAAGGACGGGAAAAGCAUCACUCAUGAAGGAAGAGAGAUUUUGGCUGAAGAGCUGUGUACUCCUCCAGAUCCUGGUGCUGCUUUUGUGGUGGUAGAAUGUCCAGAUGAAAGCUUCAUUCAACCCAUCUGUGAGAAUGCCACCUUUCAGAGGUACCAAGGAAAGGCAGAUGCCCCCGUGGCCUUGGUGGUUCACAUGGCCCCAGAAUCUGUGCUUGUGGACAGCAGGUACCAGCAGUGGAUGGAGAGGUUUGGGCCUGACACCCAGCACUUGGUCCUGAAUGAGAACUGUGCCUCAGUUCACAACCUUCGCAGCCACAAGAUUCAAACCCAGCUCAACCUCAUCCACCCGGACAUCUUCCCCCUGCUCACCAGUUUCCCCUGUAAGAAGGAGGGCCCCACCCUCAGUGUGCCCAUGGUUCAGGGUGAAUGCCUCCUCAAGUACCAGCUCCGUCCCAGGAGGGAGUGGCAGAGGGAUGCCAUUAUUACUUGCAAUCCUGAGGAAUUCAUAAUUGAGGCGCUGCAGCUUCCCAACUUCCAGCAGAGUGUGCAGGAGUACAGGAGGAGUGCGCAGGACGGCCCAGCCCCAGCAGAGAAAAGAAGUCAGUACCCAGAAAUCAUCUUCCUUGGAACAGGGUCUGCCAUCCCGAUGAAGAUUCGAAAUGUCAGUGCCACACUUGUCAACAUAAGCCCCGACACGUCUCUGCUACUGGACUGUGGUGAGGGCACGUUUGGGCAGCUGUGCCGUCAUUACGGAGACCAGGUGGACAGGGUCCUGGGCACCCUGGCUGCUGUGUUUGUGUCCCACCUGCACGCAGAUCACCACACGGUGAGUGUUGGGCUGGACCACAAAGCUGGAGCCUGGAGGAGGCACUGCCACGUUGAGUUGGCCCUUUGGCUGCGUCUUUUCCUCCGCUUCCAAACUUGCCCAGAGCUUUUGUUACUCAUCUCUGGCUAGGAAAUGGUCUUUUGCAAAACUCAACAUAGUCCUUCUGCGCCACAAGAAUGUCUUCUCUUUCUGUUUAGUUCCUUUCCUGCAGCAGGACAGGUUUGAGUUUACCCAGCCUUCCUUGAAUCUUGAAUCUCACACGGCCUGCUCAGCGGAAGCUUUGACCAGAUGCAGGAGGUGUGGCUAUGAGACCCUCACCUUGGUCUUCUGGGGUGCCGGGCCCUGGGCCAUUGCCCUCUUCCCAACACGGGUCAUGUUGCUUUCUGCCUGUGACAUUUCAGGGUCAUGGCGCGGGGGGCUCAGCCUGUGCCACCCCCACUGCGGCUGUGUUAGAGGCUGGUGGGUGACAUCGGGCUGGCAACUCCUGCAAGAGAGAGGACUCCAGACCCUAACCUGAAGGAGAUCGCCCUGGGUCCUGGCUAAUGCAUGUCUCCUGUUUCCUUGCCAGGGCUUGCUAAAUAUCUUGCUGCAGAGAGAACGAGCCUUGGCAUCUUUGGGAAAGCCCUUUCACCCUUUGCUGGUGGUUGCCCCCAACCAGCUCAAAGCCUGGCUCCAGCAGUACCACAACCAGUGCCAGGAGGUCCUGCACCACAUCAGUAUGAUUCCUGCCAAAUGCCUUCAGGAAGGGGCUGAGAUCUCCAGUCCUGCAGUGGAAAGAUUGAUCAGUUCACUGUUGCGAACAUGUGAUUUGGAAGAGGUAAGGGGCACAGCUGCAGGCAUCAUGGGGGUGAGGUGGGGAGCAGAGCUGCAGAGCCCUCCAGCCCCACCCUUUCAGUUUCAGACCUGUCUGGUGCGGCACUGCAAGCAUGCGUUUGGCUGUGCGCUGGUGCACACCUCUGGCUGGAAAGUGGUCUAUUCCGGGGACACCAUGCCCUGCGAGGCUCUGGUCCGGAUGGGGAAAGAUGCCACCCUCCUGAUACAUGAAGCCACCCUGGAAGAUGGUUUGGAAGAGGAAGCAGUGGAAAAGACACACAGCACAACGUCCCAAGCCAUCAGCGUGGGGAUGCGGAUGAACGCGGAGUUCAUUAUGCUGAACCACUUCAGCCAGCGCUAUGCCAAGGUCCCCCUCUUCAGCCCCAACUUCAACGAGAAAGUGGGAGUUGCCUUUGACCACAUGAAGGUCUGCUUUGGAGACUUUGCAACAAUGCCCAAGCUGAUUCCCCCACUGAAAGCCCUGUUUGCUGGCGACAUCGAGGAGAUGGAGGAGCGCAGGGAGAAGCGGGAGCUGCGGCAGGUGCGGGCGGCCCUCCUGUCCAGGGAGCUGGCAGGCGGCCUGGAGGAUGGGGAGCCUCAGCAGAAACGGGCCCACACAGAGGAGCCACAGGCCAAGAAGGUCAGAGCCCAGUGAAGAUCUGGGAGACCCUGAAUUCAGAAGGCUGUGUGUCUUCUGCCCCACGCACGCACCCGUAUCUGCCCUCCUUGCUGGUAGAAGCUGAAGAGCACGGUCCCCCAGGAGGCAGCUCAGGAUAGGUGGUAUGGAGCUGUGCCAAGGCUUGGGCUCCCACAUAAGCACUAGUCUAUAGAUGCCUCUUAGGACUGGUGCCUGGCACAGCCGCGGGACAGGAGGCUGCCACACGGAAGCAAGCAGAUGAACUAAUUUCAUUUCAAGGCAGUUUUUAAAGAAGGCAUGGAAACAGACGGCAGCACCUUUCCUCUAAUCCAGCAAAGUGAUUCCCUGCACACCAGAGACAAGCAGAGUAACAGGAUCAGUGGGUCUAAGUGUCCGAGACUUAACGAAAAUAGUAUUUCAGCUGCAAUAAAGAUUGAGUUUGCAA